AAUAGAUACCCAGGUAGUCCAUGCCGUAAACGUUGGGCACUAGGUGUGGGGGACAUUCCACGUUUUCCGCGCCGUAGCUAACGCAUUAAGUGCCCCGCCUGGGGAGUACGGCCGCAAGGCUAAAACUCAAAGGAAUUGACGGGGGCCCGCACAAGCGGCGGAGCAUGCGGAUUAAUUCGAUGCAACGCGAAGAACCUUACCAAGGCUUGACAUGGACCGGAUCGCCGCAGAAAUGUGGUUUCUCCUUUUGGGGCCGGUUCACAGGUGGUGCAUGGUUGUCGUCAGCUCGUGUCGUGAGAUGUUGGGUUAAGUCCCGCAACGAGCGCAACCCUCGUUCCAUGUUGCCAGCGCGUAAUGGCGGGGACUCAUGGGAGACUGCCGGGGUCAACUCGGAGGAAGGUGGGGACGACGUCAAAUCAUCGAUGCCCCCUUAUGUCUUGGGCUUCACGCAUGCUACAAUGGCCGGUACAAAGGGUUGCGAUACUGUGAGGUGGAGCUAAUCCCAAAAAGCCGGUCUCAGUUCGGAUUGGGGUCUGCAACUCGACCCC
This 548-nucleotide ribosomal RNA is filed under the name uncultured bacterium. RNAcentral's name for it is "bacterial SSU rRNA". It matches the Rfam family "Bacterial small subunit ribosomal RNA", at positions 777 to 1319 of the family's 1533-position model. The record is from RNAcentral.